UCGAACAGACCUAAAAUUUUUAGCUCCUACACCAAAAUUUUAUUUUAAUCCAACAUCGAGGUCGCAAUCCCUUUUUUCGAUUUGAACUCUUUAAAAAAAUUACGCUGUUAUCCCUAAGGUAAUUUACUCUUAUAAUCUUUACUUAAGGAUCACAUAUUCAUAAAUAAAUGUUUAAAUAUAAAAAAAGUUUACUAAAUUUUUAAAUCACCCCAACCAAAUUAAUUUUUAUAUAAAAAAUAAUUAAUACUAAAAUUAUUCACAUAAAUUUUAAUAAAACUCUAUAGGGUCUUCUCGUCUUUUAUUUUAAUUUAAGCUUUCUUACUUAAAAAUAAAAUUCUAAUAAAUUCAAAUAGAGACAGUCAUUUUUCCAUCAAACCUUUCAUUCCAGCUUUCAAUUAAAAAACUAAUUAUUAUGCUACCUUUGCACGGUCAGGGUACCGCGGCCAUUUAAUAUUCAUAGGGCAGGUCAGACCUUAAAUUAUAUUCA
This 487-nucleotide ribosomal RNA is filed under the name Piezonotus segnis. Its description in RNAcentral is "partial 16S ribosomal RNA". Lineage: Eukaryota; Metazoa; Arthropoda; Insecta; Coleoptera; Curculionidae. The record is from RNAcentral.